GAGUUUGAUCCUGGCUCAGAACGUACGCUGGCGGCACGCCUAACACAUGCAAGUCGAACGAAGUAGCAAUACUUAGUGGCAGACGGGUGAGUAACAUGUAGGUAUCUGCCCUUUGGCCUGGAAUAACACGAGGAAACUUGUGCUAAUACCGGAUAAGUCUUUACGGAGAAAGCUUUAUGCACCAUUGGAUGAGCCUGCACUUGAUUAGUUUGUUGGUGGGGUAAUGGCCUACCAAGACUGUGAUCAAUAGCUGAUUUGAGAGGAUGAUCAGCCACAUUGGGACUGAGACACGGCCCAAACUCCUACGGGAGGCAGCAGUGGGGAAUCUUGCACAAUGGAGGAAACUCUGAUGCAGCGAUGCCGCGUGAGUGAAGAAGGCCCUUGGGUUGUAAAGCUCUUUCGUCGGGGAAGAAAAUGACUGUACCCGAAUAAGAAGGUCCUGCUAACUUCGUGCCAGCAGCCGCGGUAAUACGAAGGGACCUAGCGUAGUUCGGAAUUACUGGGCUUAAAGAGUUCGUAGGUGGUUGAAAAAGUUAGUGGUGAAAUCCCAGAGCUUAACUCUGGAACUGCCAUUAAAACUUUUCAGCUAGAGUAUGAUAGAGGAAAGCAGAAUUUCUAGUGUAGAGGUGAAAUUCGUAGAUAUUAGAAAGAAUACCAAUUGCGAAGGCAGCUUUCUGGAUCAUUACUGACACUGAGGAACGAAAGCAUGGGUAGCGAAGAGGAUUAGAUACCCUCGUAGUCCAUGCCGUAAACGAUGUGUGUUAGACGUUGGAAAUUUAUUUUCAGUGUCGCAGGGAAACCGAUAAACACACCGCCUGGGGAGUACGACCGCAAGGUUAAAACUCAAAUGAAUUGACGGGGACCCGCACAAGUAGUGGAGCAUGUGGUUUAAUUCGAAGAUACGCGCAGAACCUUACCAACACUUGACAUGUUCGUCGCGACUCUAAGAGAUUAGAGUUUUCGGUUCGGCCGGACGAAACACAGGUGCUGCAUGGCUGUCGUCAGCUCGUGUCGUGAGAUGUUGGGUUAAGUCCCGCAACGAGCGCAACCCUCACUUUUAGUUGCCAUCAUUAAGUUGGGCACUCUGAAAGAACUGCCAGUGAUAAGCUGGAGGAAGGUGGGGAUGACGUCAAGUCCUCAUGGCCCUUACGUGUUGGGCUACACACGUGCUACAAUGGUAUCUACAACAGGAAGCAAGACUGCGAAGUUAAGCAAAUCCCUAAAAGAUACCUCAAUUCGGAUUGCACUCUGCAACUCGAGUGCACGAAGCUGGAAUUACUAGUAAUCGUGGAUCAGCGUGCCACGGUGAAUGCGUUCCCGGGUCUUGCACUCACCGCCCGUC
This 1342-nucleotide ribosomal RNA is filed under the name uncultured marine bacterium. Its description in RNAcentral is "bacterial SSU rRNA". It matches the Rfam family "Bacterial small subunit ribosomal RNA". The record is from RNAcentral.